GACGUAGGGCGCGAGCGUUGUCCGGAUUUAUUGGGCGUAAAGAGCUCGUAGGCGGUCUGUCGCGUCUGCUGUGAAAACCUGGGGCUUAACCCCGGGCCUGCAGUGGGUACGGGCAGACUAGAGUGUGGUAGGGGAGACUGGAAUUCCUGGUGUAGCGGUGAAAUGCGCAGAUAUCAGGAGGAACACCGGUGGCGAAGGCGGGUCUCUGGGCCAUAACUGACGCUGAGGAGCGAAAGCGUGGGGAGCGAACAGG
Molecule: ribosomal RNA, 253 nt
Filed under: uncultured bacterium
Lineage: Bacteria
Description: partial 16S ribosomal RNA
Rfam family: Bacterial small subunit ribosomal RNA
Source: RNAcentral